CAAUAGCGUAUAUUUAAGUUGCUGCAGUUAAAAAGCUCGUAGUUGGAUUUCGGGUGGGAAUGGCCGGUCCGCCGUUUCGGUGUGCACUUGCUACGCCCACCUUGCUGCCGGGGACGUGCUCUUGAGUUCACGCUCGGGACACGGAGUCGGCGAGGUUACUUUGAGUAAAUUAGAGUGUUCAAAGCAGGCCUACGCUCUGAAUACAUUAGCAUGGAAUAACACGAUAGGACUCUGGCCUAUCUUGUUGGUCUGUAGGACCGGAGUAAUGAUUAAGAGGGACAGUCGGGGGCAUUCGUAUUUCAUUGUCAGAGGUGAAAUUCUUGGAUUUAUGAAAGACGAACUACUGCGAAAGCAUUUGCCAAGAGUGUUUUCAUUAA
Molecule: ribosomal RNA, 377 nt
Filed under: uncultured eukaryote
Lineage: Eukaryota
Description: partial 18S ribosomal RNA
Rfam family: Eukaryotic small subunit ribosomal RNA
Source: RNAcentral